UUCAAAACUUCCAUUAAAAUACCACGUGAGAUAAAUGGUGCUAGCAACCUAUUAAGAAGCUGACGUCUUCCCGGAUCAGAGAAUACUAUUUGACCUAGCUUUGCACGAUCAACUUCUCCAUUUUCCAGUAAGAUAUCCUCACCAAAUGCGGCAACAACCUUUUUCCAACCACCUGUUCCUUUCUUCAAAACGUUCCGAGCUACAAUGUCAGCAUCGACAACGGGAAUACCAUGAGCCUUGAAAAGGUUGGAGACAGUGCUCUUCCCUGAAGCAAUCCCUCCGGUCAGUCCGACUAUCCUCAUUCUUAUUUUGAGAACAAAACAAGAGACGAGGAACAACUCCAGUACUCCAGCUGCUCAAACUCAGUUUCUUCCGCUGCUUCUCUCACGAUUCCAUCAGCCAACUAGCUUCAGAUGGCAAGAGAGAAUAGUGCUUUGACUCUGGUCGGAUUCGAGAUCGGAAUCGCCGGAGGCUCAGUCGGUAUUCAGUCGCCGGCAGAGUGGAG
RNAcentral lists this unclassified non-coding RNA (505 nucleotides) under Hevea brasiliensis (rubber tree). The record is from RNAcentral. Lineage: Eukaryota; Viridiplantae; Streptophyta; Magnoliopsida; Malpighiales; Euphorbiaceae.